UUUUUCCAGGUUCCUGAAAGGCUUGCCUGUAAAUACAGUAUCUGUAUCAGAGCAUCUGAAGUCUAGCAUCCAGAUGGAUUCUAUUAAGUCUGGAAUUCAAUACAUCAUCAGCACUCGGGUAGGACCGGGGCCACAGUCGAUACAAGAUGCCAACCUUCACCUACUUGGAGAGGAUGGAUUUCCCAAGCUAUAGUGCUUGAAAGAAGCCUCUCUGCAGUUGGAGGGAGAGCUGUGUUCUUGUGAAUGUCCUGGAGAAGACAAGAUAGAAAGCUAUGACAAAUAUGCCUUUUUUUCAGCAAUACUCAAUUUUUGACAAGUGCUUAUAUAAGAUGUAUGUCCAAUUUAUUUUUAAGUUAACAGUGCUGUGUGAGAUUUUCUUGAAAAAUAAAUUGUUACUUAUAA
Rhincodon typus (whale shark) is the source of this 402-nucleotide long non-coding RNA. RefSeq lists it as uncharacterized. The transcript is spliced from 3 exons. The record is from RefSeq and is a predicted model, not a curated record. NCBI's taxonomy places the organism in Eukaryota, Metazoa, Chordata, Chondrichthyes, Orectolobiformes, Rhincodontidae.